RNAcentral lists this ribosomal RNA (253 nucleotides) under uncultured bacterium. RNAcentral describes it as "partial 16S ribosomal RNA". It matches the Rfam family "Bacterial small subunit ribosomal RNA", at positions 524 to 776 of the family's 1533-position model. The record is from RNAcentral.
UACGUAGGACCCGAGCGUUGUCCGGAAUUACUGGGUGUAAAGGGCGUGUAGGUGGGUCUCUAAGUCGGUGGUGAAAUCCUGCAGCUUAACCGUAGAAUUGCCAUCGAUACUGGAGGUCUUGAGUGCGGCAGAGGGAGAUGGAAUUCAUGGUGUAGCGGUGAAAUGUGUAGAUAUCAUGAAGAACACCAGUAGCGAAGGCGGUCUCCUGGUCCGUAACUGACACUGAGGCGCGAAAGCGUGGGGAGCAAACAGG